GCGAUGUCUCAUGUGUAAAACAGUACCCCCUAUGUACAGGUUUUAUGGUGUUUUGGGAAGUUACAGGGUCAAAUAUAAUACCGUAUGGUAGUCCAGGAAUGAGAAUUACCCACAUGAUGGCAUACCAUUUGCACUAGUAGACAACCUAAGUUAUUGCAAAUGGGGUAUGUCCAGUCUUUUUUAGUAGCCACCUGGUCACAAAUACUGGCCAAAGUUAGUGUUAA
Pelobates cultripes (western spadefoot toad) is the source of this 224-nucleotide non-coding RNA. Lineage: Eukaryota; Metazoa; Chordata; Amphibia; Anura; Pelobatidae. The record is from the annotation of a GenBank genome assembly.